Molecule: ribosomal RNA, 1056 nt
Filed under: Triticum aestivum (bread wheat)
Lineage: Eukaryota; Viridiplantae; Streptophyta; Magnoliopsida; Poales; Poaceae
Description: partial small subunit ribosomal RNA
Source: RNAcentral
AUGGCCUCUAGAACGCUAUCCUUCUCCUCGCUGGCCUCCGCCUUCGCCCCCUUCGCCGCGCGCUCCAGACCCCGGCACCCUCCCCUCCGCCUCCUCAGACUCCACCCCAGCUCCGGGCAUCUCCUCCGCGCCUCCACCCUCUCCACCGCCGCUGCCCCCGCCCCUGAUGCGGACGCGGACGCCGACCCCUACGAGGGCGUCGACACCGUGGAGCAUCUCCUUGCCCCAAAGCCCACCUCCCCUGGGGGCGGACGCAUGGGCCGCCUCAUGAAGAUGCAGCGCCGCGCCGACGCCGACGGCCCGGCGGCGGGGCGGGGCAGGUGGUUCCCUUACCUGGACGCGUUCCGGGGAGCGGGGGGCGUGGAGGUGACCAGCCAGGAGGUGGUGGACGUGCUGGAGCCGUACAUCCUCGAGCCGCGGCGGGACCGGAUCCGCCGCGCCGUCCAGAGCAGGAGCUACGCCGUCUGCCUGGUCGUGGAGGGCCUCACCGACUUUGGUAACGUCUCCGCGGCGUUCCGCUCCGCCGACGCGCUCGGCGUGCAGUCCGUGCACGUCAUCUCCUGCGAGGACAACAAAAGGUAUAGAGACAACAGGCACGUGAGUAUGGGUGCUGAGAAAUGGCUCGACAUCGAGCUAUGGAGCUCACCUGCAGAAUGUUUUGAUGCUUUGAAAAAGCGUGGUUAUCGCAUUGCAUGUACUAGUUUGGGAAGUGAUUCGGUUUCUGUAUAUGACAUGGAUUGGUCUCAUCCAACGGCUAUUGUUGUGGGCAAUGAAACUAUGGGUAUUAGCGACGUCGCUCUGAAGUUGUCGGACAUGCACUGUAGUGUUCCAAUGAAAGGCAUGGUGGAUUCUUUUAAUGUAUCUGUUGCAGCUGGAAUCCUUAUGCACCAUGCUGUUUAUGAUAGAGUUUCCCGCCUUGGUCAGAAUGGUGAUCUCACGUCUGAAGAAAAUAGAAUAUUGCUGGCAGAGUUCUAUCUGCGCCAUCGAGAGAGCACAGCUACCGUCAUUCAUGAAUAUGCCAAAAGGAAGGCAAAUAAUUUGGUGGCCAAACUUUGA